UUAUUGAGUUUUGCUUGAUUCUAAGCUCGUUCCGAGUAGUAAAGGGUGUAAUUUGGUCCAAAUUGACAUAUGAAAAUCACUAUUUUUCAACCUUCAUCAACACCCCAAACUUAGAAUUUUGCUUGUCCUCAAGCAAAACAAAACAAAACAACAAACAAACAGUCAACAUCUUUACAUGCAAAUGCCAUCAAAAGGACUUUUCCAAGGCUUGUAAUGAGGUUGGGCUACCAAGAAAGAAUUGGUUUUUCCAGAAUGCAAAAUCCUUGAGUCAAGAGAGCUAUUAAAAUAUUCAACAAUUAAGCACAACUCUCUUCCUUACCAAUCUCUCUCAUUCCCAACUUUUCCCUUUUCUUUUUCUUUUGCAUCGAGCUCUUCUUAUGCUUUUCUUCUUUUCUUUUCUUUUUCUCAUGAAUUUUUCUUUUCACAACAUUUGAGCUCAAUGCUUUUCACUUGCUUUUUCAACUUUCCCCCAACAACCCCAAACUUUAACCUUUUUAUCUCAUACAAUUAAGCUCAUCCCACUCAAGGUAAAGAAUUUAAAAACAAGGGUUCACACACUGUUUAAGGCUAAGGUUCAAAAAGGGUAAAAUAUUUUUAAGCAUUUUGGGUGAAAAUUUGGCUAGAGAAGGGUUUUCAAAAAUGGCCUUGAUCAUAUGACAUUCACAUGCAAUUUAAUCGAUCAUCAAGAUUAAGGCAAUAUCAUCCAUGUUUUUCUGCGAACAAUACAUGCAACAAUAAAAACUCUGGAGCUCAAAAUCUCACACACAUGCUUCCUCACACACAAUUCAUUCAUACACCAUGCCUAGCAUCAUGACCACAAUCAUAAAUUCAUCACCCAUCUAUUUCCUGGAAAUCAACAUGCAUUACAACUAAAUUUUCUUUCACAUCAAAUAAUCAUCAAAUAGAUUCAUCAUGCACACCAG
RNAcentral lists this long non-coding RNA (923 nucleotides) under Vigna radiata. Its description in RNAcentral is "long non-coding RNA (VRAD_LNC011475)". The record is from RNAcentral. Lineage: Eukaryota; Viridiplantae; Streptophyta; Magnoliopsida; Fabales; Fabaceae.